This 551-nucleotide ribosomal RNA is filed under the name uncultured bacterium. RNAcentral describes it as "partial 16S ribosomal RNA". The record is from RNAcentral.
GGAGUUAGCCGGUGCUUCUUCUGUGAGUGAUGUCCUUCCUGCCGGUUAUUGACCCGCAGGCCUUCUUCCUCACUGAAAGUGCUUUACAACCCGAAGGCCUUCUUCACACACGCGGCAUGGCUGGAUCAGGGUUGCCCCCAUUGUCCAAUAUUCCCCACUGCUGCCUCCCGUAGGAGUCUGGGCCGUGUCUCAGUCCCAGUGUGGCUGAUCAUCCUCUCAGACCAGCUACGGAUCGUCGCCUUGGUGAGCCGUUACCUCACCAACCAGCUAAUCCGACAUAGGCUCAUCCGAUAGCGCGAGGCCCGAAGGUCCCCCGCUUUCCCCCGUAGGGCGUAUGCGGUAUUAGCCUGGGUUUCCCCAGGUUAUCCCCCACUACCGGGCAGAUUCCUAUGCAUUACUCACCCGUCCGCCGCUCGCCACCAGGGAGCAAGCUCCCCGUGCUGCCGCUCGACUUGCAUGUGUUAGGCCUGCCGCCAGCGUUCAAUCUGAGCCAGGAAUCGAAACCCUCGACGUACGUAGACGGCCGGGUCGUCGGACGAACGGGCGACUAA